Molecule: non-coding RNA, 208 nt
Filed under: Armatimonadota bacterium
Lineage: Bacteria; Bacillati; Armatimonadota
Description: Armatimonadetes bacterium (groundwater metagenome) 6S RNA
Rfam family: 6S / SsrS RNA
About the family: E. coli 6S RNA was the first non coding RNA to be sequenced, but its function was unknown until recently. It consists of 184 nucleotides that fold into an extended hairpin structure with a large single-stranded internal bulge.
Source: RNAcentral
CGGGCCCUGCCGUGUACGUGAUGUCACUUGAGUUUUGAGCCAACACUCAAUACUCAGGAUGUCUAAACCGCCGCAGCGUGGUAGCCGGCGCAUACCCACGGGGUCCAUGGGGCGCCACGGGGCCGGAAUCGCAAUGCGGUUGGAGCGGCAUCCGCCCGUGCUGCUACGGGUUCAAAAACUGAAGGACACACGGCACGGCGGGGACGUA